Long non-coding RNA from Triplophysa dalaica, 783 nucleotides. RefSeq lists it as uncharacterized. The record is from RefSeq and is a predicted model, not a curated record. Lineage: Eukaryota; Metazoa; Chordata; Actinopteri; Cypriniformes; Nemacheilidae. The transcript is spliced from 3 exons.
UCAUGUGUGUAUUUGUGCCAACAGAGUUUCAUGAGAACACCAAAAGUUUAUUUUUUCAUCAAAAGCAGGUGUGUGUUUUUGCUGUAUGAUUUUGACUCUUUGUAUUUCUCUUAGUUUUUCUGACUCUGUCAGGGCGAGACUCUUCUCCAGCGAUCCAUGAGGAGUUCUUCUCGUUGACUUCCUCAAAUCCAAGAUCUUAGUAAACACUUUUGCUUGAUCAUCUGAAUGAAGGACGGCGUUUGGCUCUCACCUGCUCUCUGGAUUGAAGUGAAAACUCCUCAUCGUGGAUUCUUCAUCUGAUUCGUGAUGUUCAGUGGUUUACAGGAGGUGUGGAUCAGCGCGUGGAUCAUCCGUGUGCUCAGUUGUGUGUUUUUUCUCCACUGAGAGAUGACUUACUUUAAUGAGACGCUCAUCUUUACUCGUGAUGACUGGAGUGUAAACAGCACUUGUCUGUUUUCUUUGGCUGCACCUCAACUCAGCGUGUGACGCACUUUCACAAAUCCUUCAGCUGGUGUGAACAAUCUCACACACACUAUGAUCAUAGACUGAAACACAAGUCAAUAAUAGUUGACAUGUGUGAUGCUGUAUGCUGAUUGGUUAAUACAGUGUUCCUGUCCUGUUAAAACAUUGAUGAUGUGAAGCAGCUGACAACUAUUCAAAUCAACUGUUUUUAUUUGUUCAACAUGAAGAUACACAGAAAAACAUGAUUAUGUGCCUUAGUAGAUUCUAUGAAAAGAAAUGAUUAAAAUAUACUUAAUAGAAUAAUGUUUCUGUUUUCAACAA